GGGUCAGUAGGUUGGUCGUGCCACCGGUACGUACUGGUCUCACUGAUUCCUCCUUCCUGAAUAACCGUAAUGCCAUUAAUUUUGUGUUGCGGGGAAACAGGACUGUUACUUUGAAAAAAUUAGAGUGUUUAAAGCAAGCUAACGCUUGAAUACAUUAGCAUGGAAUAAUGAAAUAGGACGAUCGAUCCUAUUUUGUUGGUUUCUAGGAUUGACGUA
This 216-nucleotide ribosomal RNA is filed under the name Glomeromycotina sp. RNAcentral describes it as "partial small subunit ribosomal RNA". The stretch from base 40 to 216 matches the Rfam family "Eukaryotic small subunit ribosomal RNA", at positions 686 to 864 of the family's 1831-position model. The record is from RNAcentral. Lineage: Eukaryota; Fungi; Glomeromycota.